Aricia agestis (brown argus) is the source of this 156-nucleotide long non-coding RNA. RefSeq lists it as uncharacterized. The transcript is spliced from 3 exons. The record is from RefSeq and is a predicted model, not a curated record. Lineage: Eukaryota; Metazoa; Arthropoda; Insecta; Lepidoptera; Lycaenidae.
GUUUCACACUAUGCAUUCUAGUCAGGGCCCGAUCUUGGGGGGGGCAAACCGGGCAAUUGCCCGGGGCGGCAAAAAUGAGGGGCAGCAAAUUGAGAGCGGCACGGUGUCGCGUCAGUGGCCUCCGUACGCGAGUCCAACUCGCACUUGGCCGGUUUU